AACUAUUAUUCACUGCCCCUGGUUGUUUAGAGUGCCUCAGUGGUGUUAUCAUGUUUGAGGAAACACUAUACCAAAAAACUGUUGCAGGAGAACUCUUUACUGAUGUGUUGAAGAAAGCUGGAGUUCUUCCUGGUAUCAAGCUAUUUUCAGAUGAGCUUUUCAAGUUUGGUUAGAGCAAUAAUUUGAGAAUGGAGAUAUGGAUUCUUGAGUAAGAGACAGGAGAUAUGCAUUUCAAAAGCUAUUUUCAGAUGAGUUUUUCAAGUUUAUGGCUUUAGCAAGUUUAUUUUAGCAGUCUCACUAACCAGUUAAAUCCAGGUAUUAAUCUCAUCCUACAACUUCUAAAUGAAAAUCAUGCUUCAGAAAAUGCAAUGCCAGAUGUAAUUGAAGCUUCCCCUAUUGAUUCAACUUUUAUUGAGGAUGAAAAAGUAGAAAAUGAUGAUAGUAGUAGAGGAAAUAAUGCUUGCAGCUCGGAACUUUUAAGCCACGCAGCUGGUGUUGGACCUGAUGACAACUUAGUGACAUCAUUUCCAGUUCUCAGGGAUUGUAUUUCAUAUGAAAAUGUUUAAGAACAUUCAGAUAUUGCAAGGAGUGUCUCAAAUACAGAAACGUCACUACCAGAGUCAUCAUGUCAUGAGAAUCUUGAUGUGCAGAGUUAUGACGCUAAUGAAUUGAAUGCUUCGGCGAUUGCCAACUGUUCUACAAUCACAGAAUCAGAAAUUGAAAGGGAGGAAACUGAUCUGGAAUCAAAACGUGCCAUCGAUGACUUACAGGACACUCUGCUCGAACUCAGUAGAUACAAAUAACAGAUCAAGAAAACAAGAUAAUCAAGACAGCAACCAGUGGAGGCAUGGCAUAAUGGAGCUCUUUGUGGUCAACUGUAUCAUUUUUUCUUUCUUAGUCCUAUAGAAAUAGAAUUCAACAUAUGGAUCAUAGAAUUCAACAUAAGGAGGUGGGUUAUUUUCUGCAGUCUAAGUUGAAAAAGCUAUUUUUGUGUAUUUGUUUGUAGGACUUGCAGUUCUGUGGAUGCACUGAUUUUCUUAUCUAAAUAUUUCACUGUCAGUUUAUUCUUGAAUUGGCUUAUUGCUCUGUUUAUCUAAAUUGAAGGGUCACUUUAAGUACAUUACCGGUAUAGCUUUUUCGCUUCGAUUGAGCAUAAUGGUUUCUUCGAGCGCUGAUUCUAAGGUUUAAUGAUGAAGCACAAGUUUGCUUGGCCAUAAAAAAAAAAGGAUGGCAAUGAGAGAGUUGAAGUGUGAACUAACUGAAGUAGUUGAAGUCAUAAUUUGGGAUGAUUUUUCUUGGUUGGAAUGGAUUUGGGUAUCUCCUCUUGAAUUGUAAGGUUUUGAAAGAAGACAUGAUUCCGCUUAUAAAAAUAUUUUGAUUGUAUCGUUUCUGCAUAUGAUAUCGCGAAGCUGUUUCCGAACCUGUUUGGUCAACCUUCGGCGAUGACAUUUGACAGAUUUGGCACUUGGUUGUUUGAAGAAUUUCUUUCACAUGCCUGAAAUUUGGAUUAUUAUGAAAGUCCAUUACAAUAUCACAUUACUUUUAGCUUUCAAAGCAACCAAAACAAGAAGGGUUUCUUAUCUAUAAACUUGAAAUGCAUCUAUAUUAAUGUCUCUUUCAAAAAUAACCGCAGAUUAUGCAGCUGACAAGGCUUCGUCGACCAUGAAGAUAAUAGUACAUAAAAACUUAGGGGAGCAAAUUGGUAAUGGGCAUGAUGUCUGGCCGGUUGCUAUUCACGGGCAUUAUGCUUAUGCAGGUGACUCUGCUGCUCUUCUUUCUGGUGCUUUGAAUGUACCGAUGAUUUUUACCGGCCACUCACUUGGUACCUAUGAUUUCUAGCAAUGCCUUAACAGACUUUUUGUUAUGGACCAAAUUAGUUAGUCUUUAUUUUGAACUAAAAGUAAUUUACAGCAAGCUAGAGGUAAAAUAUCAUUUUGAUAUUGAUAUACAUUAGCAAUUUGUAUUGACAUAUAAUAAGUUCAUUUUUCUC
Vicia villosa (hairy vetch) is the source of this 1990-nucleotide long non-coding RNA. RefSeq lists it as uncharacterized. Lineage: Eukaryota; Viridiplantae; Streptophyta; Magnoliopsida; Fabales; Fabaceae. The transcript is spliced from 6 exons. The record is from RefSeq and is a predicted model, not a curated record.